RNAcentral lists this long non-coding RNA (537 nucleotides) under Equus asinus (donkey). Its description in RNAcentral is "lncRNA (ENSEASG00005037538.1)". The record is from RNAcentral. Lineage: Eukaryota; Metazoa; Chordata; Mammalia; Perissodactyla; Equidae.
CACUGGCUGUGGGGGUCAUAGGAAGGACUCAGGGGACGCAGGAGCCCUAGGAAUAGAUCCCUAUCAAUACUUGGUCCUCCAUGGCGCAUUUCAACCAGACCCAAUAUGUUAACCGUUUAUCAUUAUCCCCCAGAGCCAUGGAUGGCUCUAUUUUUUUUUGGAUCAUGUUAAUGCUUCCCUGUUAGAAGUCUGUGCAGAUGAAAAGCAAUGAGCCAGUCCCCCUAAGGUGCUGAGUGCCGUGCCUCACACUCAGUAAGCCUCCCCAACGUGCCUUAUUGUGUCAGCACUCCUGUUAGUAUUCUCACUGUCAUUGUCAUCAUCAUCUUGAUAACAACUUAGAAAGCAGAACUUCUCUCCAUGGAAUUAACAUUUUACAUUGCAGAUGACCCACUGGUUCCUUGACAUGUGAGGUUACAACUGGCCUGUGAGACUAUAGAGAACUGAUGCAUUCAGCAGAGUCCUGUGAUGACUAUUCUGAUUUCCUCUAUGGAUAGUUACUAUCCCAUAUUUUGAAAUCUUCACUAUAUAAAUGCUGUG